This is a long non-coding RNA of Cucumis melo (muskmelon), 2064 nucleotides long. RefSeq lists it as uncharacterized. The record is from RefSeq and is a predicted model, not a curated record. Lineage: Eukaryota; Viridiplantae; Streptophyta; Magnoliopsida; Cucurbitales; Cucurbitaceae. The transcript has 3 exons.
CAAGUUUAAGAAGACCAACCGAACUGAUCCGGUCAACUUUGUUCCAUAUGUAAAUCGGAUUUACCAGUACUUUUCGUUCGGUUCUCGGUUUGCCCAAACUGGGGCCACUCAAAAUUAGAUUUAUGGUUCCGUUCGCAAUUUUAGACACAUUUUUAUUUUGAAUCGGUCGUUUGUUGAACACGUUCUCUCUCAAUUAGUUUAGGGUUCAUCGUUCUCUCUUCUCGCGCUAGAUCUCUCUCUCAGGUUCGUUUCUUUCUCUUAGGCCAUUUAUCAGAUGAUCCUCUUCGUUCUCAGAUUUUCGUCCGGCGUUCGUCCUCGGUUUCUCGGCAGACUUAGAAAAUUGGUUUCCGUUUAGUGAGUCUGUUUGGGGUAUUACGAAUGAUAUUUUGUACUGGGCUUUGAGCAGUUUCUCACUUUAUUAUAAGGGGAAUGCUGCUUAGGAAGCUAAAUCUGAUACGUCUAAAUUCGUUUGUAUUUCUAGUCACUUGUUAAUGUAUAUGAUUAUAGUCUUCUUCUUUCUGGGAAUAUAUGCAUCUGAAAAUUUAUUUGUUUGGCUUUUCUUUAUAAAGUAUGUGGACAUAUACAUUCGAUAGCUAAUCCUUGAUUUUUUUUUUUUUUUUUUUUUUUUAUAUAUUGUUUGAAUCUGUUUUUUAAAUUUCAAGAUGGUGUUUCUUGGAUGAAUUGCAUACUGUUGAAUUAGAAGUUUAUUGGUUAGAUUAUUUAUAUUUGCCCUAAGUUCUGUGGAUGAGUUUGUGUCUUUGACCUUUUCGUUUGCCUUUUCUUUUGGCUGAGGGCAUUUUACAUAGCCUCUGCUCUGAAAGGUGCAGUGAUUCUUUUUCCUGGCUUUUCUCAAUUUUCACAAUUUAGAUUUGUCUAAAACUAAAUAUCUACCCAUGAUACUAUUUUUUGUUAAUUUGAGUUUUUCAGGAUGGCUGCUAAGUCGCUAGAGAAUGAAAAAUCUUGAACAUUGUGUUCUGAAGUUCAAGGAACUUGUGAACAUUAGCUAUGGUGGUUGAGUAGACACGUAAGGAAGCUUUACACAUUGAGAACAUCUCCAUAUGGUCUCUGACAUGCCUCUCAAAAAAUGGUGAUGCAGUAUGAGUACUUCAUAUUGUCUGGAACGUCAAGGAAAGCUUUCAUGUCAUUGAUGUUAUGCAUAAGUAUACGCAUUAAGCGAUACCUAUCCAUCAAUGUCAGCUCAGGGAUGACUUCCGACUGUCGGACAACCUCUUGACGUGUUUGGCUUGCGUCUUGACGUUGUAGGACAGGUCAUUCAACAAUGCGGUUCAGUUGUUCAUUUUCGUACUCAAUUGCAGUGCAAACUAUGUCCUCACUAUCUGCGACAUGUCCUGCACGUUUUUGCUUAGAUCUGCUUGAAACAUUUCUACGUUCACUGACCCGAGCGGUUCUUGUUCCCAUCAAAUCAUCAGGCGACAUGUUCAAUCCCUGACUGUACAUUGUCGGGAAGUCUGUAUCCGUCGCAGCGUCAGCGGCAAAUGCGUCAUACCCAGUAAGAUCGUUUGAUCCAACGUUCGCAAAACUCUCGGCCUGGCCUUCCGUUGCACGAUCUUUGCCAAACACAUACGACAGUUCGUCAUAGUGGGGGAACGACUUAUUAAGGAGGUCCUUCGUCGUCGAAUGACUCUGUAUAAGUGCAAUAAUAAAUUGUUAGUCCAUUUAUUGAAAUAUAGUACAGUAAGUGUUCAAAUGACUAGUAACGCACCUUGACCCAAUUGUCGACGAUGCAUUUUUGUUCAUCAUUCCACCCAAAACCACUGUACGUUGGGCCACGCAUCUCCGCAAGUGCAUGGAACAUUCUCUUCAUCAAUUUGAUUCGGCUAACGAUCGUUGAAGCAUAGAUAUUACAACCUAGGAUCUUGAAGGCCAUCAUUCUCGCCAGCUGAUUUAAGUACCCGGGGCGAAAGGUCCCGUUGUCGGACCUCCACCUACCAGCAUUGACCAACUCCACGAGGCACUCGACGAGGCCUUCCUCUUCCUCAUUAGUCUAACUGUGUUUAGGUAGUCUCGAUGAACUUGUCAUGUUAGAAGUCAAACGCAAACAUA